This 393-nucleotide ribosomal RNA is filed under the name uncultured bacterium. Its description in RNAcentral is "partial 16S ribosomal RNA". It matches the Rfam family "Bacterial small subunit ribosomal RNA", at positions 523 to 918 of the family's 1533-position model. The record is from RNAcentral.
AUACGGAGGAUCCGAGCGUUAUCCGGAUUUAUUGGGUUUAAAGGGUGCGUAGGCGGUUUGCUAAGCGGGAGGUGAAAUGCCGGCGCUCAACGUCGGAAGUGCCUCCCGAACUGGUGGACUUGAAUGACUCUGCCGUGGGAGGAAUGUGUAGUGUAGCGGUGAAAUGCUUAGAGAUUACACAGAACACCGAUUGCGAAGGCAUCUCACGAAGGGUUGAUUGACGCUGAGGCACGAAAGCGUGGGGAUCAAACAGGAUUAGAUACCCUGGUAGUCCACGCAGUAAACGAUGAUGGCUAACCGCUGGGCUUAUCAGUUCAGUGGCCAAGCGAAAGCGAUAAGCCAUCCACCUGGGGAGUACGACCGCAAGGUUGAAACUCAAAUGAAUUGACGGGG